GGAUUUAUGAUUUCAGCCUUUGUGUUUGCAGAAUUACGAAUUAAUCGAUUAAAAGAAAUUUCAGUUGAGAAUGCCUUGGCUGCGAUUGAAACAAAAGGUUCAUUUGUCGAGGAUGUAACUGAUAAUAUAGAGCAUUCUGGCUAAAAAUAGCAGAGUGCCAAAAGUUUUUCUAGGACUUUAGGCCAUUAAUUAACACAUAAGCUGCAUAUAAUUAUUAAAUGCCUAGACCAAGAAGAUUGAGGUAACUAUUUUAAUGCACAAAAGACGCACAACCACAAAAGGUUGUUCACAUAUCACACCAUAACCAAAAU
Molecule: unclassified non-coding RNA, 311 nt
Filed under: Hevea brasiliensis (rubber tree)
Lineage: Eukaryota; Viridiplantae; Streptophyta; Magnoliopsida; Malpighiales; Euphorbiaceae
Source: RNAcentral